Long non-coding RNA from Oreochromis aureus, 180 nucleotides. RefSeq lists it as uncharacterized. NCBI's taxonomy places the organism in Eukaryota, Metazoa, Chordata, Actinopteri, Cichliformes, Cichlidae. The record is from RefSeq and is a predicted model, not a curated record. The transcript has 3 exons.
AAAAAUUCAGACUGCAAGUAAUUUCAGGUGGAGACAGUAAACACAGAUCUACCAAGGGUCAGUGGCACAGUUCACCUUUUAUGGAGGCGCCUGAUAUCAACGUGAAACGCACUGCAGUACUUUGUGCCCUUCCUGUAUACCUGUGGGAGGAGGACCCAGAAUUCUUUAAGACAUGUAAUG